RNAcentral lists this ribosomal RNA (497 nucleotides) under uncultured bacterium. Its description in RNAcentral is "partial 16S ribosomal RNA". It matches the Rfam family "Bacterial small subunit ribosomal RNA", at positions 28 to 507 of the family's 1533-position model. The record is from RNAcentral.
GAUGAACGCUGGCGGCGUGCCUAAUACAUGCAAGUCGAGCGAACAGACGAGGAGCUUGCUCCUCUGACGUUAGCGGCGGACGGGUGAGUAACACGUGGAUAACCUACCUAUAAGACUGGGAUAACUUCGGGAAACCGGAGCUAAUACCGGAUAAUAUAUUGAACCGCAUGGUUCAAUAGUGAAAGACGGUUUUGCUGUCACUUAUAGAUGGAUCCGCGCCGCAUUAGCUAGUAGGUAAGGUAACGGCUUACCAAGGCGACGAUGCGUAGCCGACCUGAGAGGGUGAUCGGCCACACUGGAACUGAGACACGGUCCAGACUCCUACGGGAGGCAGCAGUAGGGAAUCUUCCGCAAUGGGCGAAAGCCUGACGGAGCAACGCCGCGUGAGUGAUGAAGGUCUUCGGGUCGUAAAACUCUGUUAUUAGGGAAGAACAAAUGUGUAAGUAACUAUGCACGUCUUGACGGUACCUAAUCAGAAAGCCACGGCUAACUACGUG